RNAcentral lists this ribosomal RNA (444 nucleotides) under uncultured soil bacterium. Its description in RNAcentral is "bacterial SSU rRNA". It matches the Rfam family "Bacterial small subunit ribosomal RNA", at positions 26 to 518 of the family's 1533-position model. The record is from RNAcentral.
AGAGCGAACGCUGGCGGCAGGCCUAACACAUGCAAGUCGAACGGACCCUUCGGGGUUAGUGGCGGACGGGUGAGUAACACGUGGGAACGUGCCUUUUGGUUCGGAAUAGCUCCUGGAAACGGGUGGUAAUGCCGAAUGUGCCCUUCGGGGGAAAGAUUUAUCGCCAUUAGAGCGGCCCGCGUCUGAUUAGCUAGUUGGUGAGGUAAUGGCUCACCAAGGCGACGAUCAGUAGCUGGUCUGAGAGGAUGACCAGCCACAUUGGGACUGAGACACGGCCCAAACUCCUACGGGAGGCAGCAGUGGGGAAUCUUGCGCAAUGGGCGAAAGCCUGACGCAGCCAUGCCGCGUGAAUGAUGAAGGUCUAGGAUUGUAAAAUUCUUUCACCGGGACGAUAAUGACGGUACCCGGAGAAGAAGCCCCGGCUAACUUCGUGCCAGCAGCCGC